CAAUCUGCCCUUCACUCUGGGACAAGCCCUGGAAACGGGGUCUAAUACCGGAUAUGAGCCUGGGAGGCAUCUCCCGGGUUGUAAAGCUCCGGCGGUGAAGGAUGAGCCCGCGGCCUAUCAGCUUGUUGGUGAGGUAAUGGCUCACCAAGGCGACGACGGGUAGCCGGCCUGAGAGGGCGACCGGCCACACUGGGACUGAGACACGGCCCAGACUCCUACGGGAGGCAGCAGUGGGGAAUAUUGCACAAUGGGCGAAAGCCUGAUGCAGCGACGCCGCGUGAGGGAUGACGGCCUUCGGGUUGUAAACCUCUUUCAGCAGGGAAGAAGCGAAAGUGACGGUACCUGCAGAAGAAGCGCCGGCUAACUACGUGCCA
This 374-nucleotide ribosomal RNA is filed under the name Streptomyces lucensis. RNAcentral's name for it is "bacterial SSU rRNA". It matches the Rfam family "Bacterial small subunit ribosomal RNA", at positions 122 to 510 of the family's 1533-position model. The record is from RNAcentral. Lineage: Bacteria; Bacillati; Actinomycetota; Actinomycetes; Kitasatosporales; Streptomycetaceae.